AGUGAACGCUGGCGGUAGGCCUAACACAUGCAAGUCGAACGGCAGCACAGUAAGAGCUUGCUCUUACGGGUGGCGAGUGGCGGACGGGUGAGGAAUACAUCGGAAUCUACUUUUUCGUGGGGGAUAACGUAGGGAAACUUACGCUAAUACCGCAUACGACCUACGGGUGAAAGCAGGGGAUCUUCGGACCUUGCGCGAUUGAAUGAGCCGAUGUCGGAUUAGCUAGUUGGCGGGGUAAAGGCCCACCAAGGCGACGAUCCGUAGCUGGUCUGAGAGGAUGAUCAGCCACACGGGAACUGAGACACGGUCCAGACUACUAAGGGAGGCAGCAGUGGGGAAUAUUGGACAAUGGGCGCAAGCCUGAUCCAGCCAUACCGCGUGGGAGAAGAAGGCCUUCGGGUUGUAAAGCACUUUUGUUGGGAAAGAAAAGCAGAAGGUUAAUACCCCGCUGUUCUGACGGUACCAAAAGAAUAAGCACCGGCUAACUUCGUG
This 492-nucleotide ribosomal RNA is filed under the name uncultured bacterium. Its description in RNAcentral is "partial 16S ribosomal RNA". It matches the Rfam family "Bacterial small subunit ribosomal RNA", at positions 29 to 507 of the family's 1533-position model. The record is from RNAcentral.